GUGUCAGCCGCCGCGGUAAUACGGGGGGAGCCAGCGUUGUCCGGAAUCACUGGGCGUAAAGGGCGUGUAGGCGGGCAUGCCAGUCAGGUGUAAAAGUCUACGGCUUAACCGUAGUUGGUCAUCUGAUACCGCAUGUCUUGAGUUCGAGAGAGGGUGGUGGAAUUCCUGGUGUAGCGGUGAAAUGCGUAGAUAUCAGGAAGAACGCCAGAGGCGAAGGCGGCUCCCUAGCCCGGUACUGACGCUGAGGCACGAAAGCGUGGGGAGCGAACGGGAUUAGAUACCCCGGUAGUCCACGCCCUAAACGAUGGAUGCUAGGUGUUGGAUCCGAGAGGAUUCAGCGCCGAAGCUAACGCGUUAAGCAUCCCGCCUGGGGACUACGGCCGCAAGGCUGAAACUUAAAGGAAUUGGCGGGG
RNAcentral lists this ribosomal RNA (413 nucleotides) under uncultured prokaryote. RNAcentral describes it as "bacterial SSU rRNA". It matches the Rfam family "Bacterial small subunit ribosomal RNA", at positions 505 to 918 of the family's 1533-position model. The record is from RNAcentral.